UGUGUUACCUUGAUGAAAACAUCACGGAUGUAGAUGAGCACUGCUCAAGUAUCCGAGAGCGCAUAAAAAUCGUGUGGAUUGUUCCGUUGCCUUCCUUCUGAUUUAUCCU
Molecule: small nucleolar RNA, 109 nt
Filed under: Fibroporia radiculosa
Lineage: Eukaryota; Fungi; Basidiomycota; Agaricomycetes; Polyporales; Fibroporiaceae
Description: Small nucleolar RNA Z13/snr52
Rfam family: Small nucleolar RNA Z13/snr52
About the family: Z13 or snr52 is a member of the C/D class of snoRNA which contain the C (UGAUGA) and D (CUGA) box motifs. Most of the members of the box C/D family function in directing site-specific 2'-O-methylation of substrate RNAs.
Source: Rfam by way of RNAcentral